UUCAUUUUUUACAUCCUGAAACCAAAAAUCACCAUAUUAUGCAUGAAUUACAUAUCACUUUCACUUGUCACAGAGUGAACAUACCAAAUUCAAACAACAUUCACACUGUUUCUAGAUGAAAUGAUCAACCGAUAUUUUGGGCAAACAAUAUAAUUCAUGAGGGGAAAAAAUUAAUAUUUAUAUGUGUGCACAUAGUUUCAAGAUCAGCUAACGGGAUUGAAACCAGCUUUCCCAGUUAUGCUUGGAGCUGAUGAGAACAGUUAGUUUUGAACACAAAAUGGCAUGGGACUUAAUUCAUCUAGGUGGCAAUAUAUUGC
Non-coding RNA from Paramuricea clavata, 317 nucleotides. Lineage: Eukaryota; Metazoa; Cnidaria; Anthozoa; Malacalcyonacea; Plexauridae. The record is from the annotation of a GenBank genome assembly.